RNAcentral lists this ribosomal RNA (300 nucleotides) under uncultured Bacillus sp. RNAcentral describes it as "bacterial SSU rRNA". It matches the Rfam family "Bacterial small subunit ribosomal RNA", at positions 496 to 795 of the family's 1533-position model. Lineage: Bacteria; Bacillati; Bacillota; Bacilli; Caryophanales; Bacillaceae. The record is from RNAcentral.
GCCAGCGACGUGCAAGAGUGGUGGGUAAUCCGUGGGUGGGAGGCGUUUCUCUACUGUGCUGGUCGGAAAUUGCUGGUAGGCGGUGUGUCGCGUCGCCCGAGAACACUCGUAGCAUAACUCCGAGCUGGCGUGCGUUACGGGCAGACUUGAGUACUACAGGGGAGACUGGAAUGCCUGGUGUAGCGGUGAAAUGCGCAGAUAUCAGGAGGAACACCGGUGGCGAAGGCGGGUCUCUGGGUAGUAACUGACGCUGAGGAGCGAAAGCAUGGGUAGCGAACAGGAUUAGAUACCCUAGUAGUC